CGCCUCUUGAAUUUAUUAGAGGUCCAGCCUGCCCAGUGACUUCUGUUUAACGGCCGCGGUAUCCUAACCGUGCGAAGGUAGCGUAAUCACUUGUCUUCUAAAUAAAGACUAGUAUGAAAGGCAUCACGAGGGUUUAACUGUCUCCUCUGUCUAAUCAGUGAACCUAAUCUCCCCGUGAAAAAGCGGGGAUUUCUUUAUAAGACGAGAAGACCCUAUGGAGCUUAAAACAUCCUACACGUGCCUAACUAAUUAUGUACCCAGGUACCCACACCUCACUGCACGGUGAUUUUUAUGUUUUUGGUUGGGGUGACCGCGGAGAAAAACACAUCCCCCGCAAUGAAAGGAGUCUCUCCUUAACUACAAGCUACUACUUUAUGUAUUAAUAUAUUAACGCCUUUGACCCAAUAAAUUGAUUAAUGAACCAAGUUACCCUAGGGAUAACAGCGCAAUCCACUUCCAGAGCCCCUAUCGACAAGUGGGCUUACGACCUCGAUGUUGGAUCGGGGUGUCCCAGUGGUGCAGCCGCUACUAAAGGUUCGUUUGUUCAACGAUUAAAACCCC
RNAcentral lists this ribosomal RNA (561 nucleotides) under Pristimantis toftae (Pachitea robber frog). Its description in RNAcentral is "partial 16S ribosomal RNA". It matches the Rfam family "Bacterial large subunit ribosomal RNA", at positions 1831 to 2597 of the family's 2925-position model. The record is from RNAcentral. Lineage: Eukaryota; Metazoa; Chordata; Amphibia; Anura; Strabomantidae.